CUUGGUCAUUUAGAGGAAGUAAAAGUCGUAACAAGGUCUCCGUAGGUGAACCUGCGGAGGGAUCAUUACAAGAACGCCCGGGCUUCGGCCUGGUUAUUCAUAACCCUUUGUUGUCCGACUCUGUUGCCUCCGGGGCGACCCUGCCUUCGGGCGGGGGCUCCGGGUGGACACUUCAAACUCUUGCGUAACUUUGCAGUCUGAGUAAACUUAAUUAAUAAAUUAAAACUUUUAACAACGGAUCUCUUGGUUCUGGCAUCGAUGAAGAACGCAGCGAAAUGCGAUAAGUAAUGUGAAUUGCAGAAUUCAGUGAAUCAUCGAAUCUUUGAACGCACAUUGCGCCCCCUGGUAUUCCGAGGGGCAUGCCUGUUCGAGCGUCAUUAUGACCACUCAAGCCUAGCUUGGUAUUGGGGUUCGCGGUCUCGCGGCCCUUAAAAUCAGUGGCGGUGCCAUCUGGCUCUAAGCGUAGUAAUUUAUCUCGCUAUUGGGUCCGGUGGUUGCUUGCCAACAACCCCCAACUUCUAAGGUUGACCUCGGAUCAGGUAGGGAUACCCGCUGAACUUAAGCAUAUCAAUAAGCGGAGGA
RNAcentral lists this ribosomal RNA (582 nucleotides) under uncultured Capnodiales. Its description in RNAcentral is "eukaryotic LSU rRNA". The stretch from base 224 to 377 matches the Rfam family "5.8S ribosomal RNA". Lineage: Eukaryota; Fungi; Ascomycota; Dothideomycetes; Capnodiales. The record is from RNAcentral.